This 258-nucleotide ribosomal RNA is filed under the name uncultured bacterium. Its description in RNAcentral is "partial 16S ribosomal RNA". It matches the Rfam family "Bacterial small subunit ribosomal RNA", at positions 524 to 776 of the family's 1533-position model. The record is from RNAcentral.
UACGGAGGGUGCAAGCGUUACCCGGAAAUCACUGGGCGUAAAGGGCGUGUAGGCGGGAACUUAAGUCUGGUUUUAAAAGACGUGGGGCUCAACCCCGGGGAUGGACUGGAUACUGGGUUUCUAGACCUCUGGAGAGAUUACUCGGAAUUUCUGGUGUAGCGGUGGAAUGCGUAGAUACCAGAAGGAACACCGAUGGCGAAGGCAGAGUAUUGGACAGAAGGUGACGCUGAGGCGCGAAAGGUGUGGGGAGCGAACCGG